RNAcentral lists this unclassified non-coding RNA (209 nucleotides) under Hevea brasiliensis (rubber tree). The record is from RNAcentral. Lineage: Eukaryota; Viridiplantae; Streptophyta; Magnoliopsida; Malpighiales; Euphorbiaceae.
AGCAAGGCCAUCACUGAAAAAAUUGUAAUCUUUUGUUCACUUGCCUCCAACUUUUUUGUUUCCUCUGGUCAUACUAGAAAAUUGGAGUGUUGAGAUAACUGGAGUUAUACACCCUUUAUAAUUAACUAACAAUUUUCCCUGCAAUUUCUGUUAUUGUGAAAUCUGCAAUUUUUUUUUCUAUGCAGAGAUCUCAGUUUCAACAGAUUGGG